Piliocolobus tephrosceles (Ugandan red Colobus) is the source of this 3567-nucleotide RNA transcript. It is a transcript of the gene named endogenous retrovirus group K member 21 Rec protein-like, with no coding region annotated. The record is from RefSeq and is a predicted model, not a curated record. Lineage: Eukaryota; Metazoa; Chordata; Mammalia; Primates; Cercopithecidae. The transcript has 3 exons.
GUGACAGAGCUAGACUUCAUCCCAAAUAUAUAUUAAAAAAAAAAAAAAUUACUGUUUCCUUAUCUGUGAAUGCUUCCAACUAGAAGGAGGAGAAAGAAGAAGUUUGACCGUAUUUCUCAGCAGAAAGAGAAGGGGUCUAGUGUGACAUCAAAAUGAAAGAGUGCUGGAGCUUGAGCCCCUUUUCAUUUUCCAGGAUCCCCACAGUGAUCAGCUGCCAGAACCCUGGUUUAUUCAUGGAAACCACACUUAAACUUUUAUCAGCAGCUACUGUGUACUGGGCUCCCUUCUAGGUUCAAAUCACUCUAUUUGAGUAAGAUAGAGUGGGUUGGUCCCUACUCAUGGAAGUUACACAAUCAUAGAGGAGAUAGACACUAACCCAAUAAUCAUUUAACAAAGAAGAAAAUUUCAGAGAGUUAUUGUGUACAGAAGAAAAGACAUCAGGUCUGUGGAAAGAGAGAAUUGGAUUCACUCAACUUUGGUUCACAUGCUUAGGCAGCUCUACCUGAGAAAGUGACAUUCAGCUGAGACAACAAAAUAAGUAAACAGCCAUGUGCAGAUCUAAGGGUCGAAUGUUCCAGAGAGACACAAUGGGGGGAAAACCCUGGUGUGAGAAAUUAUGUGCAGGGACACAAAGAAGGCUAAAGGGGCUGAUGUAUAGGAAGCAAGGAAAUUGAGUGGGAGAAGAUGACGUAGGAAGCAGAGAGGAAGUCAGGAGCCUCAUCAUAUUAAGCCCUGAUGUUGAUAGUAAGAAAUUUUAAUUUUAUUUAAACAGAUAUGGGAAGCCACUGGAUGGUUACAAGGAGAGUCAAUUUAUAUUCAAUUUUUAAAACUAAUUCUAGCUACACUGGCAGGGAUUGGAUUGCUGGGAUUCACAAGUGGUCAGGAAGCUACUUAGGAUCACAGCAGGGAAUCCUUAGGGAAAAUUGCUCAAGGCUUCCUGGUAUGCAUUAGUGAUAAAGACAGUGAAAACCCUAAGUGGACAGACUCGGCAUGUAUUUUGCUCAGCCUGUUAAUGGAUUACUGUAAAGGGGAUAGAACAAUCAAACUUAUUCCUAAGUAUUUUGUCUUGACGAAUAAGUGGAUGGUGGUGUUGUUUAUUGAGAUAUGAAAAAUUGUGGGAGGAAAUUAUUUGAAGUGGGUGGUUAGAAAUGAUUUAUUGAUAUUUAUGUGGAACAAUCAGAAGGUCAAUGGAAUUUAAGAGACUCAUGGUGAGUCCAGGGCUGGAAGUAUUUAUGUUGACGGCAUCAAUACAUGUACUCUGUUAAAUUCCAGGGAGUGGAAGAGGAUACAUGGGGUAAUAGCUUCUGUGUAGAAAAAAGAAGGCUGCACAGGCCAGCGAGGGGACUGAGAGGGAGUCCCAAGGAUGUUUGAGAAAAACCAAGAGAAUAUAAUGCGUGAAAACACUCGGACCCCAACAUCUGGCGCAGCGAGCAGGGUCCGUGGCUCCAUGAGAGCAAGGAAACGGAGGGGGAACACCCUGGGCAGGCGCGGGAAGACCGUGGGCAGGUGCCAGAGAUGAGUGGUUUCCAUCUCGACAGUUGAAACAGUGCCAUGGAGAAGAGGAGCCAAUCCGAAGAGUUCCUCAAGGAAUUUCAGGAGCUGAAUCUGAGCGCUCAGAGAACAUUCACCUUCAGGACUGGGCGUGCGGAGCCCCCGAUACGAGGUCAACUGAAAAAGCUUACUCAGAAAGCUGAAGGGGUUGUUCAACAAGCUGGGCAGCCCAAAACCCCACUGACUUUAUUCGUGGCUGUGCUGACCAUAGUAAAUUGUCAGGUAACGGCUGGAGAAUUUACAUACUGAGCUUAUAUUCCUUUUCCACCCUUAUAUCAAGGUGUGGCCUGGGCAGACAAAGAAGUCCCAGUAUUUACUAAUGAUACUGCUUGGAUGCCAUCGCCUUUUUUAAACCAGGAUCCUGCAUUAGACACUGGCACAGUAAAUAGUUCAUAUCAAUUUGGGGUUGAAGGGUUACCUAUAUGUAUUGGGAGUAGUCCACAUUGUCUGCAUCCUUCUCAUGAGGCUUGGGCUGUUCGUUAUAAUUAUAGUCACAUUGCUGCCUUUACUAUGAUUAUUGUUGCUCAAAGUUUUAAGUAUAAUCAUACUGCAUUAUUAAAAGAAACUCUGCCCACUACAUUAUCUUUAUGCCCUAUCCCUGAUGUGUCCAGACGUGUUUCCCAAUUAAAGUGGACUAGGUGUAGAGGUAGUGGGCCGUGAUUAUUAUUAGAAGUAAAAGGAAAAGGUCGUAAUUACCUCAUCACAGAUUGGAGUGUACAUGGAGAUUUUCAAACCAAAUUUAGUCAUGUCAACCUACGUUGGCAUAAAGGUAAUCACAGCAUUGCUGUGGAUGGCAAUGAAACUAUUAUUUGGCAUGAUGGUGGUCUAUCACCCCCUAUGCCACAUUUGGCUAAUACUUCACAAAUACAAAGUCAUAUUUGGAAGUUGCUAGCUGCUGGUAAACCAAUGUUCACUCUCACAGGAAACAUGUCCUUAAAUCUUACUAAUAUUGCUAACCCUUUCCAUAUAUCUUUGCAUUGAAAUAGUUCUAGAUAUGUUAUUGCAUGUGUAAGAAAGCCUUACUUCUUGUUGACAGGAAUUUUUAAAUGGGAUAAUAAUACAGGGGUAGUUAACUGUACAAACAAUUGUACAUUCUUAAGUUGUAUAAAUACUACUUGGUGGAAUAAUAAUUGGAAUGUGUCUCAUUCCGAUUUAUAUAUACUAAGAGCCAGAAAAGAAACCUGGCUACCUGUAAACUUAACACGUACUUGGAGUGAAUCUGCUGGGGUUACUCAAAUUUACAAGGCUAUGCAAGAUCUUGUCCACCGCAGUUGGAGGAUGGUUGGAAUCAUCGUGACCGCGGUGAUAGGGCUUGUAGCAAUUGCUUCCACCGCUGCUGUUGCUGGACUAGCUCUACACCAGAAUAUACAAAAUGCAGAAUUUGUGCAACAGUGGCAUGAGCAAUCACAUUUGUUGUGGCAGCAGCAACGAGACAUAGAUUCUCAUUUGACUGAGCGAGUGGAUAAUCUGGAACUAGCAGUUUCUUGGUUGGGAGAUCAGCUAACAGUGUUGAAUACACGAGCUUUGUUGAAAUGUGAUUGGAAUACUACCCAAUUUUGUAUUACUCCUGUUCCUUUUAACAGCACUGUACAUAAUUGGACUGAGAUAAAGAGACUUUUAAUUGGUCAUAAUAACCUUUCCCGAGAAAUACAAGAAUUAACACAGAACAUUUCUGAAGCGUUUAGCAAUCAGUUACCAUUGCUGACUGGUGCAGAUCUGAUGACUGGUAUUGCACAAAGUUUGACGUCUUUGAACCCUAUGAGCCCUGUAAAAACCUUACUGACCUCUAUUUCUAGCAAUGUAUUGAUUGUUGUUCUUGCUUUUGUCAUUUUCACAGUCUGCUGGAGAUGGUGCCAAAAGGCAAACACCGAAUCCCAGUGAGCUCAACAUGUAAUGAUGGUUUUGAAAGAAAUUCAAACUUGUAAAUAAGGAAAGGGGAAAUGUAGAGGACUAUCUGCUUUUACAACUGAGCAGGCCAUUCCUCCAUUAACAUUAUAGUCCCGCUCUCGCAAAAGA